RNAcentral lists this unclassified non-coding RNA (223 nucleotides) under plant metagenome. RNAcentral's name for it is "partial contains small subunit ribosomal RNA, internal transcribed spacer 1, and 5.8S ribosomal RNA". The record is from RNAcentral.
UUUCCGUAGGUGAACCUGCGGAAGGAUCAUUAAAGAGAAUAUGCCCUUCGGGGUAGAUCUCCCACCCUUUGUUUAUAUUACCUUUGUUGCUUUGGCAGGCCCGUCUUCGGACCACCGGCUUCGGCUGGUCAGUGCUUGCCAGAGGACCCAAAACCCUUAUUAUUAAUGUCGUCUGAGUACUAUAUAAUAGUUAAAACUUUCAACAACGGAUCUCUUGGUUCUG